Molecule: ribosomal RNA, 464 nt
Filed under: Anabaena sp. MDT14b
Lineage: Bacteria; Bacillati; Cyanobacteriota; Cyanophyceae; Nostocales; Nostocaceae
Description: bacterial LSU rRNA
Rfam family: Bacterial large subunit ribosomal RNA
Source: RNAcentral
GAAAUGUGGUCAAGUUAAUAAGGGCUAAUGGUGGAUACCUAGGCACACAGAGGCGAUGAAGGACGUGGUUACCGACGAAAUGUUCCGGGGAGUUGGAAGCAAACUUUGAGCCGGAAAUGUCCGAAUGGGGCAACCCUAUGUACUACCUGUUGAAUAUAUAGACAGGAAAGAGCCAACCCAGCGAACUGAAACAUCUUAGUAGCUGGAGGAAGAGAAAUCAAACUAGAGAUUCCCUCAGUAGUGGUGAGCGAAAGGGGAAGAGCCUAAACCAAGGGAUUUAUCCUCUGGGGUCGUGGGACAGCGAGAUCGAAUCUAGAGACUAAACGAAACAGCUAAAUACUGUACCAGAGGGGGUGAAAGUCCCGUAGUUGAAAGUCAAAGGAUAGUAGCUGAAUCCCGAGUAGCAUGGAGCACGAGGAAUUCCAUGUGAAUCAGCGAGGACCACCUCGUAAGGCUAAAUACUA